Non-coding RNA from Mycena albidolilacea, 78 nucleotides. Lineage: Eukaryota; Fungi; Basidiomycota; Agaricomycetes; Agaricales; Mycenaceae. The record is from the annotation of a GenBank genome assembly.
AGCAGAAAUAGCUCAGUUGGAAAGAGCACUAGUGGUGCAAUCACUUAGAGGUCCCCGGUUCGAUUCCAGGUUCAGCUA